CAAAAUGUGGCUAAAUUAGUAAAGUACCUCCCUUACACUGAGGGGAUAUCCGUGCAAUUCGGAUCAUUUUGA
Molecule: transfer RNA, 72 nt
Filed under: Carcharhinus sorrah (spottail shark)
Lineage: Eukaryota; Metazoa; Chordata; Chondrichthyes; Carcharhiniformes; Carcharhinidae
Description: tRNA-Val
Rfam family: tRNA
About the family: Transfer RNA (tRNA) molecules are approximately 80 nucleotides in length.
Source: RNAcentral